Molecule: long non-coding RNA, 797 nt
Filed under: Aquilegia coerulea
Lineage: Eukaryota; Viridiplantae; Streptophyta; Magnoliopsida; Ranunculales; Ranunculaceae
Description: long non-coding RNA (ACOE_LNC001943)
Source: RNAcentral
AAGCUCUCUCCAUUUUUGUAGCAUGUUAAUUCUGCUUAAAAAAAUUCUACGUGGUUUGAAUGUACGUGCCUAUCUGAACUCUUGCCACUAAUCCCAAACUCUUCCUCUUACAACUGAACGUGGAGUCAUGAACUCUUGCAACUUAUUACAAACUCUUCCACGUACUUUUUUUCAAUUUCAAACUGAAAUCAAAAUCUAAUUAAUUAUCGUCUCUCCUCUUUUCGAAUCCUCCAAUCUCUCAAAGAUCCUCUAUCAUCUGUUAAUCUCUUUAUUCUAAUUCUGAAUCACUCUUGCACAAAUCAAAUAUAAUUCACUACGGUAUCUAUUAAUUGAGGUAAUCUUCUUUUCUAUAUUUUUUGUUGAAUGUAAUUUGUGGAUUUGUUGUUCAGUUAUACUGAUUAUAGGGAUCCCCUGAUUAUAUUCAUUUUUGUGCAUCUUCAUAUUACUAUAUUAGUUGUUAAUAAAUUUAUCAUAAUUUUGAAUAAAACCUAAUUUAGCCUAUAUUAGUUGUUCAAUUACUGAUUAUAUUCAUUGUUUUGUACAUCUUUUUAUUAGUUGCUAAUUUAACCUAAUUGUGAAUCAAAAUUCCAAAGUAUUGAGAAACAAUUAUCAUUGUAGUUGUAUUAUCACUCAAAAUUUGAGACUACUGUAUUCUGUAAGGUAACUCUUCCUGAAACCACCAUAGUUUUUUUUUUUUUUUUUUUUAAUGUAUCAUAGUUGUUUAUUAGAACUUUAGUAGGACUAUCAGCCACUAUAUGCUUAAAUUCCAACCUCUCAAUUCUUUUGAAAUUUUGUAG